UAGUGUAGAGCUGAUAAUUAGACCAUAGAGUCGCUGUUGAUUUGGUUUAUUCCUUGGCAGAUCAUUUAAGUACUUUAUCUUAUUACAAAAACUGAACGAAAAUAUAGCAGCAAUACAUUUCAUGACAUAGUGUUAUCCGUGCAAGAAAAUUGCUUGAUUGAUUAUUAAUAAAUGUAAGCAAUCUAUCAUGUAGGUUUUGUUCGAUCCUACACUUAAAGAAAAUCAUACUGAAGAUCUGAGCUUAAGUGUUCCAACAGCUGAAGCACCAGCUCAAGAUGAAAGAAUCUCUUAAUAUGAUUGUAGAUCCAUUCCCGUAAAGUGCAGUUAGAAUAUGGAAUCCACCUCGAACUCGGUUUAAAAAACAGAAAGCAUAUGGAAUUUUGCUCUAUCAGUCUGCAGUUAUUUGGUUCAUCGUCGCGCCUCAAGUUUCCAACAGCGCCGUGGCUGUACACCGUCGACUUCGCCGGAAAUCCGUCUGCACAUACUCUACUGUCCGCCGAAACUUUGUCUGACCUGAGUUAUUUGGCUCAUGGUCACGCCUCAAGUUUCCGACAGCGCCGUGGCUGUACACCGCCGACUUUGCCGGAAAUCUGUCUGCACAUACUCUACUAUCCGCUGAAACUUCGUCUGACCUGAGGUACAUACUACAGUGUCAU
Long non-coding RNA from Triticum aestivum (bread wheat), 656 nucleotides. RefSeq lists it as uncharacterized. The transcript is spliced from 3 exons. Lineage: Eukaryota; Viridiplantae; Streptophyta; Magnoliopsida; Poales; Poaceae. The record is from RefSeq and is a predicted model, not a curated record.